CUCUAGUUAAUAUUUAAUCAUAGACUAGUGUUUAGCCUUUCUCUUAUAGCUAAUUUUACAGAAUUAACUAGCUUUUGAAAGGUUCACCUCCCCCCCCCCCCCCCCUGUACGAAACAGACAAGAAGGAAAAUAAGAAUAUAGCAACCGUGUCAAACACUCAAAAGUUUCAAUCUUUCUCACUUUUUUAGGUUCCAACACUAACCCACUUCACAAAACUCUCUCAAAAACUCUUGUUUUACUUCACAACAAUACCAAGUCACCAGACUCUCUGAAAUUUCACAGAAUACUCUGUCUUUGUGACUCUAAAGCCUCAAAAUUUCUCACUUUUUUAAAGUUUUGGCACAACACCCAAUUCAGAAAACUCUCUUAAAAACUCAAAUUUUUCAUCAAAUUCACCACAAGACUCUGUUACUGUUACUGUUUCUGUUCCUGUUUCUAUCCUAGAGAAAACAGAGCAAUGGAGGGAGUGAUAGUUAAGGAAGAAGAAACGGUGACGUACGGUGUGGGAUCAUCGUCCUCUUCAUCUUCGAGCAUUUCACCGCAACCAAUGGAGGGGUUACACGAGGUGGGCCCGCCUCCAUUCCUGACCAAGACCUUUGAAAUGGUGGAAGACCCAGCAACUGACUCGAUCGUGUCGUGGAGCAGAGCUCGCAAUAGCUUCAUUGUUUGGGACUCUCACAAAUUCUCCACCACCCUUCUUCCUUGCCACUUCAAGCACAGUAAUUUCUCAAGCUUCGUUCACCAGCUCAAUACAUAUGGUUUCAGAAAGGUUGAUCCUGAUCGAUGGGAAUUCGCAAACGAAGGGUUUCUGGCAGGGCAAAAGCAUCUAUUAAAGACCAUCAAAAGAAGAAGACAUGUCACACAGGGUACGCAACAACAAGGAGGAGGAGCUUGUGUUGAAUUGGGACAAUGUGGGUUAGAAGGUGAGCUUGAGAUAUUAAAGAGAGAUCGAGGCUUGCUAAUGGCGGAAAUUGUGAGGUUGAGGCAGCAACAACAGAAUUCAAGGGAACAAAUGAUUUCAAUGGAGGAUAGGUUACAGACCACAGAGAGGAAACAGCAACAGUUAAUGAAUUUUCUUGCUAAAGCACUCAAUAAUCCAUCCUUUAUCCAGCAAUUUAGUCAGAUGAGUGCUCAAAGAAGAGGACUACCAGGGUGUUGAAAUUGGACGAAAGCGUAGACUUACUGCAAGCCCAAGUGUGGAGAAUUUGCAAGAAGAAGACGUGUCUGUGUUGGCAGGCAGUAACCAAGUUGUGGACUUUACAAGCCAAGAUCAAGAAGAAACGGCAACUAUGGAAACAUUUUUCUCAGCUGCCUUGGACAAUGAAUCAAGCAGUGAUAUCAAUGACCCCAUUGCAAGUUCAGUACCCACAAGAAGUGGUGCCAAUUUGGAUUCUGUCAAUGAGACCAUAUGGGAAGAACUUUUGAAUGAAGAUCUAAUCACUGAAAAUCCGGAAGAAGAAGCUGUGGUUGGUGAUAAGUUGGAAAUUGAUGUGGAAGUGGAGGAUUUGGUCGCAGAACCUGACGACUGGGGUGAUGAUUUCCAAGACCUCGUCGAUCAAAUGGUUAUCUCAGAGUUGCAAUGUGUUUCAGCUCAUUGCUUGGUGCAUAAUGGCUAUAAGGUCUGUGCGUAUUUGGCCAAGCUGCAAUUAAGGAUUUAUAUUCUUCUUGGUAAGUUUAGACUCAUAACUCAUUAGAAUAAGCACUACAAAUACAUUUUUAUUUUUGGGUUGACUGUGGCCCGGAUACCCUGUGAACUAAGAGGUAUCUGUAUGCAAGCUGGUUUACCUUUCUGCAACUAAUGGACAGGAUAGUUUGGUCUUGUUUCUGUCUCUGCAAUAAUUAUUUAUUGGCUUAGAUAUAUGCAUUUUCCCUAGUGUGUUACAGAUUGUAAGAGGCUGUGGGAUCCAUACACUAUAAAAAGGAAAAAAAAAAAAA
RNA transcript from Quercus lobata, 1935 nucleotides. It is a transcript of the gene named heat shock factor protein HSF30-like, with no coding region annotated. NCBI's taxonomy places the organism in Eukaryota, Viridiplantae, Streptophyta, Magnoliopsida, Fagales, Fagaceae. The record is from RefSeq and is a predicted model, not a curated record. The transcript has 2 exons.